RNAcentral lists this ribosomal RNA (532 nucleotides) under Megophrys zhoui. RNAcentral describes it as "partial small subunit ribosomal RNA". It matches the Rfam family "Bacterial small subunit ribosomal RNA", at positions 7 to 941 of the family's 1533-position model. Lineage: Eukaryota; Metazoa; Chordata; Amphibia; Anura; Megophryidae. The record is from RNAcentral.
CAAAGGUCUGGUCCUGGCCUUACUAUCAAUUAUAGCUUAACUUACACAUGCAAGUCUCCUCACUCCCGUGAAAACGCCCUCUCCUUCCAAUUAGAAGUAGAGGAGCUGGUAUCAGGCCCAUAAGCCCAUAACACCUAGCCCAGCCACACCCCCAAGGGUACUCAGCAGUGAUAAAUAUUGAAAACUAGCGCAAGCUAAAUUCAGUUAUAGCUAAGAAAACCGGUCAAUCUCGUGCCAGCCGCCGCGGUUAUACGGGCAGGUUUAAAUUGAUAGCAUCGGCACAAAGUGUGGUUAGAUACCUAUCUAAUUAAAGCAAAAGAAAAGCCAAGCUGUGAUAUGCUCACGCUUUACUAAUUCCGAUUACGAAAGUAGCUUUAACCCUAAUUGAACCCACGAUCGCUAGGACACAAACUGGGAUUAGAUACCCCACUAUGCCUAGCCCUAAACUUUGACAUCCUCCGCCUGGGAACUACGAGCGUUAGCUUAAAACCCAAAAGACUUGGCGGUGCCCUAUACCACCUAGAGGAGCCUG